This is a long non-coding RNA of Brienomyrus brachyistius, 352 nucleotides long. RefSeq lists it as uncharacterized. The transcript is spliced from 3 exons. NCBI's taxonomy places the organism in Eukaryota, Metazoa, Chordata, Actinopteri, Osteoglossiformes, Mormyridae. The record is from RefSeq and is a predicted model, not a curated record.
GUCUGUUCAAAUGCGACUCCCAGACACUACUCUGCCUAGCAGCCACCCCCAAGAUGGGAAUAACAAUCAAGGUUACUUUGGAGAUUGACUCGGACCUGGACAUACAUUGUGAAAUGGAGAUCUUAUUUUCCUGAAGAAAACUACAGUCAAAGCAAUAUAUGGCGAAACCUCGUUCCAGCUAUAUGAAGUUCAAGAAAUGGUAACAUAAUCACUGGGCUAAAGGAAUCUGUCUUGGGUGAUGGAGAUACGAAGAAGAUGUUAUCCACAGGCGAAGCACUACUUUUCAAAUGUUUAAUCAUACAGUACAGCCAAUGGAAGACCUGUGUCAGUACUACUAGUAACAGUAAUGAAG